Molecule: ribosomal RNA, 254 nt
Filed under: uncultured bacterium
Lineage: Bacteria
Description: partial 16S ribosomal RNA
Rfam family: Bacterial small subunit ribosomal RNA
Source: RNAcentral
UACGAAGGGGGCUAGCGUUGUUCGGAAUCACUGGGCGUAAAGCGUACGUAGGCGGACCGUUAAGUCGGGGGGUGAAAUCCCAGGGCUCAACCCUGGAACUGCCUUCGAUACUGGCGGUCUGGAGUCCGGGAGAGGUGAGUGGAACUCCGAGUGUAGAGGUGAAAUUCGUAGAUAUUCGGAAGAACACCAGUGGCGAAGGCGGCUCACUGGACCGGUAUUGACGCUGAGGUGCGAAAGCGUGGGGAGCAAACAGG